AUCAGAUCAGGGGGCUGUGUCAGAUGGUGGUGGGUGGCACAGUAAUCCAGGCGAAGAGAGUAUAACCCAGCUAGGAAGUCUUCACAAAAAGGUACGUUCUCAUACACUUUCAUAUUCAUAUUCUCACAUACACACAACAGGGAAUUAUUAUCUCUCUCUAGACACUAGACAUUACAUUCCUCCAUUGUUAACCUUGUGAACACGUAUACUGACUCUCACGCCUGAGCUAUCCCCCGACGGAACAGCCGUCAAGCUUGUGGUGUUUACCGUGUUUACAGUGAAGGAUCAGGGCGUCUUACGUGAUUGGGACGUGACAGAAGAUCUUGGCGUUAACAUUGACGCUAGAAGGAGGGGUUUGAGUUCUAGUGUGAUUGAAAUUUUCAAUCACAAUCGUUUAACCUACUUCGGAAGAUGAUGAGGAGUAGGGAUGGUACGCCAGAAGGGCAGGCGAUGGUUAUUAGCUCGUCACUGCCUCGUGUUUCGGUAAAGGAUCGUCUGGGUCCUUCUAAAAGCGCUCACGAGAGCACGACUUCUAAGUAUAAUUCAGGAGAUCUCCGUCCGAAGAUCCAUGCUGGGGCCAGACGUAAGUUGGUUUUCAAUGCGGAUAAGGAGCGUGAUCAUGGUCGAGGGCGGGCAGAAGGCUCACCGACCAAGACUCAUCGUCGAAGUGAUCAGGAGGACAGAGCUGCCAAGUU
RNAcentral lists this long non-coding RNA (695 nucleotides) under Panax ginseng (ginseng). RNAcentral describes it as "long non-coding RNA (PGIN_LNC015912)". The record is from RNAcentral. Lineage: Eukaryota; Viridiplantae; Streptophyta; Magnoliopsida; Apiales; Araliaceae.